Molecule: unclassified non-coding RNA, 2298 nt
Filed under: Arthroleptis francei (Ruo River screeching frog)
Lineage: Eukaryota; Metazoa; Chordata; Amphibia; Anura; Arthroleptidae
Description: partial contains 12S ribosomal RNA, tRNA-Val, and 16S ribosomal RNA
Rfam family: Bacterial small subunit ribosomal RNA (bases 1-849)
Source: RNAcentral
CUGUAAGGAAGGAGCCGGUAUCAGGCACAGAUUCCUAGCCCACGACACCUAGCACCGCCACACCCCCAAGGGCACUCAGCAGUGAUAAACUUUGAUGAUAAGCGACAGCUUGACUCAGUUAAAGUACAGAAAGCCGGCCAACCCGGUGCCAGCCGCCGCGGCUACACCAUCGGGCUUAAGUUAAUAACCACAGCGUUAAGCGUGUUUAAAGAACAUAUUUAUUUAGAAUUAAAUCCGGCCAAGACUGUGAUACGUACGCCCCGCAGAAACACAAAUGAAAGUUAUUCUAAUAUUCACUUGAAUCCACGACAAUUAAGAAACAAACUGGGAUUAGAUACCCCACUAUGCUUAAUCGUAAAAUAUAUUAAUUACACCCUUAAUCGCCAGAGUACUACGAGUAGCCAACUUAAAACUCAAAGGACUUGACGGCGUCUCACCUUCCUAGAGGAGCCUGUUCUAUAAUCGAUAUUCCCCGAUACACCUAACCACUUUUUGCUAAUCAGUCUGUAUACCUCCGUCGCAAGCUCACCAUAUGAAUGUUAAUUAGUGAGCAUAAAGAUUUUUACACCAACACGUCAGGUCAAGGUGCAACCUACAAAGUGGAAAGCAAUGGGCUACAGUUUCUAAUUUAGAACACACGAAUAGUCAUAUGAAAAAUGACAAUGAAGGAGGAUUUAGAAGUAAGGGGCAAACAGAGCGUCCCCCUUAACCAAGCAAUGAGACAUGUACACACCGCCCGUCACCCUCUUCAAUUAAAUUAUUUACGUUUAUAACAAUAUACUUUAUUAAAGAAGAGAUAAGUCGUAACAUGGUAAGCAUACUGGAAAGUGUGCUUGGAACAACAAAAUAUAGCUUAACCAAAGCAUUUCGCUUACACCGAAAUUAUAUCUGUCCAAACCAGAUUAUUUUGAGCCAUAAACUCAGCCAAUUAAAUACUUAAAUAUAAAUAUAUACAUGUAUAUCAUAAAACAUUUUGACAACCUAGUAAAGGCGAUUGAAAAUUUAAUAAGAGCUACAUACACAGUACCGCAAGGGAAAAGUGAAACAGAAAUGAAAUAAACAAAAAGCCCAUAAAAGCAGAGAUUUAUACUUGUACCUUUUGCAUCAUGGUCUAGCUAGUCUUAAUAAGCAAAUUAUACUAUUAAGCUUAUACCCCCGAAACCCGGCGAGCUACUUAAAAAUAGCUCUUAGAGCCAACCCGUCUCUGUUGCAAAAGAGUGGGAAAAUUUUUAAGUAGAGGUGACAUGCCUACCGAGCCAGGAGAUAGCUGGUUGCUCAAGAAAAGAAUAUAAGUUCUCCCUCAAAUUUUAAAUAUAAUUUUAAAUACAUAAUUUGAGAGUUAUUCAAAUACGGUACAGCCUAUUUGACACCGGAUACAACCAAAAAUUAAGGGUAAUGUAAACUAUAACUUUAAUUAAGUUGGCCUAAAAGCAGCCACCUUUCAAAUAGCGUCGCAGCUUAACUAAAAAUAUUUUAAAUACCUGUUAUUACACAAAACCCCAACUCCAAUAUUGAGCACCUUUAUAAUUUAUAAAAAUUAUAAUGCUAGAACUAGUAACAAGAAAACUUCUCUUAAGUGUAAGUAUAUAUCAAACACGAUUUUUACUAUUAUAAUUGUAAUAACCCCCCCCCCGAAACCCUUAUUAAUUUUCCCCGCCCCACUAUUAAACUUACAUAAGAACACUACAAGAAAGAUUUAAACAAAAAGAAGGAACUCGGCAAACCUUAGUCUCGCCUGUUUACCAAAAACAUCGCCUCUUGAUAAAUUAUAAGAGGCCCAGCCUGCCCAGUGAUUAUUUCAACGGCCGCGGUACCCUAACCGUGCGAAGGUAGCACAAUCACUUGUUCUUUAAAUAAGGACUCGUAUGAACGGCACCACGAAGACUAUACUGUCUCCUUUCUGCAAUCAGUGAAACUGAUCUUCCCGUGAAGAAGCGGGAAUUAUUUUAUAAGACGAGAAGACCCCAUGAAGCUUUAAAUAAAUAGCAACUGCUACCCCAACACCAUCUCAACCUAGCAGGUAUGUCUAUUAAUUUUAGGUUGGGGCGACCACGGAGUAAAACAAAACCUCCACAAUGAAAAGACCUUAUACCCCCCUAAUCCAAGAACAACAGUUCUAACAAUCAAAAUAUUGACAUAAAUUGACCCAAAUCUUUGAUCAAUGAACCAAGUUACUCUGGGGAUAACAGCGCUAUCCAUUUCAAGAGCCCCUAUCAACAAAUGGGUUUACGACCUCGAUGUUGGAUCAGGGUAUCCUAGUGGUGCAGCCGCUACUAAAGGUUCGUUGUCAACGAUAAU